ACCAGACUCCUACGGGAGGCAGCAGUGGGGAAUAUUGCACAAUGGGGGGAACCCUGAUGCAGCGACGCCGCGUGGGUGAAGAAGCGCCUCGGCGCGUAAAGCCCUGUCAGCAGGGAAGAAAAUGACGGUACCUGAAGAAGAAGCCCCGGCUAACUACGUGCCAGCAGCCGCGGUAAUACGUAGGGGGUAAGCGUUAUCCGGAUUUACUGGGUGUAAAGGGGGCGCAGACGGCGAUGCAAGCCAGGAGUGAAAGCCCGGGGCCCAACCCCGGGACUGCUCUUGGAACUGCGUGGCUGGAGUGCAGGAGGGGCAGGCGGAAUUCCUGGUGUAGCGGCGAAAUGCGUAGAUAUCAGGAGGAACACCGGUGGCGAAGGCGGCCUGCUGGACUGCAACUGACGUUGAGGCCCGAAAGCGUGGGGAGCAAACAGGAUUAGAUACCCUCGUA
This 445-nucleotide ribosomal RNA is filed under the name uncultured bacterium. RNAcentral describes it as "bacterial SSU rRNA". It matches the Rfam family "Bacterial small subunit ribosomal RNA", at positions 330 to 792 of the family's 1533-position model. The record is from RNAcentral.